This is a long non-coding RNA of Passer domesticus (house sparrow), 693 nucleotides long. RefSeq lists it as uncharacterized. Lineage: Eukaryota; Metazoa; Chordata; Aves; Passeriformes; Passeridae. The transcript is spliced from 4 exons. The record is from RefSeq and is a predicted model, not a curated record.
CUCUAUCAAUUCACUGGCAAAAUGUCUCUUUGGUCUCUGAGCAUCUAGCUCACAUGAAAGAGGAUAUCUUUCUUCUGUUAUCCAUUCUUUUGCUAUUUUUUUGGCACAGGACAAUGGUUGUGUACCCGCAUAUUUCAAUUUUCCUAGUGACACCAUGGGGAGUUACAAUGUCAGUGUGACAGAAUAGAAUCAUAGAAUGGUUUGGAAGAGACCUUAGAGAUCACCUAGUUCCACGAUGUUCUGUCAUAAACAGGGGCACCAUUCUCUAGAACAGCUCACUCAAGGCCCCUUCCAACCUGGCCCUGGCCCCUGCCAGGGAUGGGGCAUCCACAGCUUCCCUGGGCAACCUGUUCCUCACCACCCUCACAGCUUGGCUAAAGCUGGAAAGCAUUUGCAACAGGAAAAGUGCUUGGCUGCAGUCACAGGCAAGGGGACCACAAAGGAAGGUCUGGAGAGUGACAGGCCAGUGAGCUUCAUCUCAGUCCCUGGAAAAGUCAUAGAGAAAAUCCUGCUGGAAUUCAUGUGGUCUCCGAAACCAUGAAGAUCAAGCUAUUUUACAGAAAAGAGAAGGUAGUAGUCCCAUAUCCAGAGAACUUACUCUUAACUGCAGAUGACAAGCAAAAAAUCAGAGAAGCAGAACAGUGCAGCCAGGAGGAAGCUUAUUUUUCAAAAAUAAUAUGGUAGCAACCGUUA